Stylophora pistillata is the source of this 1170-nucleotide long non-coding RNA. The record is from RefSeq and is a predicted model, not a curated record. Lineage: Eukaryota; Metazoa; Cnidaria; Anthozoa; Scleractinia; Pocilloporidae.
AAUCGAAAGUGAAAACGGUGAAACCCGUGCAUGUUGAUUUUUUUAAAUUUCUUUCUCCGUCUAAACGUAUUUUUACUAUUUGGGCAUUUUAUGUGCAUAAUUUUGACAAACCAAAAUAGAUCUUAUUUCUGUGGAUGAGAAAUUUCCUACACAGAGGUAGCUUCGCUUUGCUUGUUUUUACUCCAUUGCUGGGCAAUAAUCCUACUAUCACUGAAACCAAGUUUUUGACUUAAGUUUAUCAGAAAAUUUUUUAGAAAAUAUUCGCUAAAGACACAAUUUCCAGUAUCGUUAUGUAAAUUUUCUGAUUAACUUUACUUUUUCUUGCAUAUUCAUUGACCUUUGCUCACUUCAAACGAAAUCCUAUCUUUAAGCGUAACGCAAGGUACUGAUAUCCUAAUGAUUACUUUUAAAGUACUAUUUGUUAUGGUACAAGAACUGAGUGAAGUGCAUUAAUUUUACGGGGACAGUUGGAAGACUAAAUUAAAUUGAGUGAACGCACAGUGUGGGGCUGAUUCGAAGCUCAGAGCACGAUUUUCCUUGAAUUGUUCGCCACGAAUUCUAUUACCAAUUCAUGGCUCAUUUACGAGUUACUCUCAAUGUUCUUAUCAAAACGAGGCUCGUUGCGAAACCAUUCUCUCAAAAGUGAGUCUAACCCUUCACUCCUCGUAGGUGCCCUGGAGUAAUUUCGUCAGACAUCAUCGACACAAUGUCAAGCAGACAUGCAGAAAUUGUUGACUCAGAGCACCACCCAGCUGUUUGCAGAAUGUCAUCAAGACUUACUGAGGCAUUGUUGGCGGCAGAUGUUCUGGCAGCCUGUGUGCUGUGGGAUUUAAAUCUGGAAGUGACUAUUCCAGAGUCAGUGACAACAGUCUUCACCCACUGGCUUAUAGUAUCUCAGCUAACUUUCCUGAAAAGUUUUUGAUAGCUAACAAACAAUUGGCGUUCUGAGCCUCUUAAGUUUUGUGUUCUUGUUAAGUACUAUUUUAACGUAGAUACAACACACAGCGUAAGUUUAACAAGUGGGUUGUUAACUCCUGGUCUGCUUUGCUUCAGGUGUCCCACAAGCUGGAAGGUGUAGCAAUUAUUUAAAAAAAAAACAUGCGGUCAAUAUUCAACAUAUGUACUGUCUUGACCUCUUUGGCCAGAAACUAAUAAAAUUAACACAACGAG